Molecule: ribosomal RNA, 400 nt
Filed under: phytoplankton environmental sample
Lineage: Eukaryota
Description: partial small subunit ribosomal RNA
Rfam family: Eukaryotic small subunit ribosomal RNA
Source: RNAcentral
AGCUCCAAUAGCGUAUAUUGAAUUUGUUGCGGUUAAAAAGCUCGUUGUUGGAUUUCUGCUGAGGACGACCGGUCCACCCUCUGGGUGAGCAUCUGGUUCGGCCUUGGCAUCUUCUUGGGGAACGUAGCUGCACUUGAUUGCGCGGCGCGGUACCCAGGACUUUUACUUUGAGGAAAUUAGAAUGUUUCAAGCAGGCACACGCCUUGAAUAUAUUAGCAUUGAACAGUAAGAUAGGAUCUCGGUUCUAUUUUGUUGGUUUCUAGAGCUGAGAUAAUGAUUAAUAAGGACAGUUGGGGGCAUUCGUAUUUAAUUGUCAGAGGUGAACUUCUUGGAUUUGUUAAUUGACGGACUACUGCGGAAGCAUUUGCCAAGGAUGCUUUCAUUGAUCAAGAACGAAAGU